GACGAACGCUGGCGGCGUGCCUAACACAUGCAAGUCGAACGGAGUUGUUCCUUCGGGGGACAACUUAGUGGCGAACGGGUGAGUAACGCGUGAGAAACCUGCCUUUCAGUGGGGGGACAACAGUUGGAAAACGACUGCUAAUACCGCAUAAUGUUAGUUUGGGGGCAUCCCUGAAUAACCAAAGAUUUAUUGCUGAAAGAUGGUCUCGCGUCUGAUUAGAUAGUUGGCGGGGUAACGGCCCACCAAGUCGACGAUCGGUAGCCGGACUGAGAGGUUGAACGGCCACAGUUGGGACUGAGACACGGCCCAGACUCCUACGGGGAGGCAGCAGUGGAGGGAUAUUCGGCAAUGGGGGAAACCCUGACCGAGCAAUGCCGCGUGAGGGAUGACGGUUUUCGGAUUGUAAACCUCUGUCCUCUGUGAAGAUAAUGACGGUAGCAGAGGAGGAAGCUCCGGCUAACUACGUG
This 467-nucleotide ribosomal RNA is filed under the name uncultured bacterium. RNAcentral describes it as "bacterial SSU rRNA". It matches the Rfam family "Bacterial small subunit ribosomal RNA", at positions 28 to 507 of the family's 1533-position model. The record is from RNAcentral.